This 484-nucleotide ribosomal RNA is filed under the name uncultured bacterium. RNAcentral's name for it is "partial 16S ribosomal RNA". It matches the Rfam family "Bacterial small subunit ribosomal RNA", at positions 30 to 507 of the family's 1533-position model. The record is from RNAcentral.
AUUGAACGCUGGCGGCAGGCCUAACACAUGCAAGUCGAGCGGAUGAAGGGAGCUUGCUCCUGGAUUCAGCGGCGGACGGGUGAGUAAUGCCUAGGAAUCUGCCUGGUAGUGGGGGAUAACGUCCGGAAACGGGCGCUAAUACCGCAUACGUCCUGAGGGAGAAAGUGGGGGAUCUUCGGACCUCACGCUAUCAGAUGAUCCUAGGUCGGAUUAGCUAGUUGGUGGGGUAAAGGCCUACCAAGGCGACGAUCCGUAACUGGUCUGAGAGGAUGAUCAGUCACACUGGAACUGAGACACGGUCCAGACUACUACGGGAGGCAGCAGUGGGGAAUAUUGGACAAUGGGCGAAAGCCUGAUCCAGCCAUGCCGCGUGUGUGAAGAAGGUCUUCGGAUUGUAAAGCACUUUAAGUUGGGAGGAAGGGCAGUAAGUUAAUACCUUGCUGUUUUGACGUUACCAACAGAAUAAGCACCGGCUAACUUCGUG